RNAcentral lists this long non-coding RNA (428 nucleotides) under Arabidopsis lyrata. Its description in RNAcentral is "long non-coding RNA (ALYR_LNC000853)". The record is from RNAcentral. Lineage: Eukaryota; Viridiplantae; Streptophyta; Magnoliopsida; Brassicales; Brassicaceae.
UUCCGUACAGUUUCCUUUUUGUGAGGACAAAGAUUGCCUAAGAACAAAAUGGCCCCAAAGGGUUCAACAAAAACCUUAGCUCUCUUCCUUGCACUGAUCAGCAUUGUUCUCCUCGGCCAAACCCAAGCCAAAAACCGUCCCUAUCUCCGCCCACCUCCCCCACGCUUUCCUCCGCCACCAUGUCCAGUAUGUAUUUGUCCAGCACCACCACCUACGGAAGUUUUACCAACGAGUCCACCCACCACACCACCGGAAACACCUCCGACCACACCACCAGAAACACCUCCAAAUACACCACCGGAAACACCCCCAAACACACCACCGGAAAAUCCUCCAACCACACCACCUGAACACCUCCAAACACACCACCAGAUACUCCACCAACACUUCCACACAAACACACCACCGGAGACACCUCCAAACACACC